GUAGGGAGUGUCGGAUUACUGGGCGUAAGAGCGCGUAGGUGGUUCGAUCAGUCGGAGGUGAAAGCCCUCGGCUCAACCGAGGAUCCGCGUCCGAUACUGUCGAACUUGAGUGCAGGAGAGGAGAGCGGAAUUCCCAGUGUAGCGGUGAAAUGCGUAGAUAUUGGGAGGAACACCGGUGGCGAAGGCGGCUCUCUGGACUGCCACUGACACUGAGGCGCGAAAGCUAGGGGAGCAAACGGGAUUAGAUACCCCGGUAGUCCUAGCCGUAAACGAUGGGCACUAGGUGUGGGAGGUAUCGACCCCUUCCGUGCCGCAGCUAACGCAUUAAGUGCCCCGCCUGGGGAGUACGGCCGCAAGGUUGAAACUCAAAGGAAUUGACGGGGGCCCGCACAAGCAGCGGAGCAUGUGGUUUAAUUCGAAGCAACGCGAAGAACCUUACCUAGACUUGACAUCUCCUGAAUAGCCGGUAACUCGGCGAAGCCCUUCGGGGCAGGAAGACAGGUGGUGCAUGGUUGUCGUCAGCUCGUGUCGUGAGAUGUUGGGUUAAGUCCCGCAACGAGCGCAACCCUUAUUAUUAGUUGCUACCAUUUAGUUGGGCACUCUAAUGAGACUGCCGUGGUUAACGCGGAGGAAGGUGGGGAUGACGUCAAAUCAUCAUGCCCCUUAUGUCUAGGGCUACACACGUGCUACAAUGGUGAGUACAAAGAGACGCAAGACCGUGAGGUGGAGCAAAACUCAAAAACUCAUCCCAGUUCGGAUUGUAGGCUGAAACUCGCCUACAUGAAGCCGGAGUUGCUAGUAAUCGCGAAUCAGCAUGUCGCGGUGAAUACGUUCCCGGGCCUUGUACACACCGCCCGUCACACCAUGAGAGUCUGCAACACCCGAAGUCCGUGAGGUAACCCGUAAGGAGCCAGCGGCCGAAAGUGGGGCCGAUGAUUGGGGUGAAGUCGUAACAAGGUAACC
Molecule: ribosomal RNA, 963 nt
Filed under: uncultured bacterium
Lineage: Bacteria
Description: bacterial SSU rRNA
Rfam family: Bacterial small subunit ribosomal RNA
Source: RNAcentral